GCUGGGCAUGGUGGAACGUGCCUGUAAUCCCAGCUACUCGGGAGGCUGAGGCGGGAGGAUUGCUUGAGCCCAGGAGUCUGAGGGUGCAGUGAGCUUGACUGUGCCACUGCACUCCAGCCUGGACAACAGAGCAAGACCCUGUCUCUA
Unclassified non-coding RNA from Macaca fascicularis (crab-eating macaque), 147 nucleotides. It matches the Rfam family "Metazoan signal recognition particle RNA". From Rfam's summary of the family: The signal recognition particle (SRP) is a universally conserved ribonucleoprotein. It is involved in the co-translational targeting of proteins to membranes. The record is from Ensembl. NCBI's taxonomy places the organism in Eukaryota, Metazoa, Chordata, Mammalia, Primates, Cercopithecidae.